This 598-nucleotide long non-coding RNA is filed under the name Gallus gallus (chicken). RNAcentral describes it as "lncRNA (ENSGALG00010026153.1)". The record is from RNAcentral. Lineage: Eukaryota; Metazoa; Chordata; Aves; Galliformes; Phasianidae.
GACAAAGACCAUUUGGAAACACCCACACAUAGACAGUGGACAAAGGAAGAAAGGAUGGAUGUCUGUCUACCCAUAUCACACCAGCAGUCUUUGGUACAGGGUCCUUGUCCAAAUAUGCAAAGCCGCAUUCAACGACAGUAAAUCAACAUAAGAAUGCAGGGACAAGGUGAUGCAGAUACGCCCAAUUCAAAACAUUUGCAUUAAAGUUGUUUCUAUCACUUGCUGAAUUGCUCAGUUCCAUGUACAGCAAAUAAUUUUGCUAUCACUGCUGUCAUUGGUACAUUUAGUGGUUUGGGUGAUCUUUAUUUUGCUUCAAGAUGACCAUAUGAAGAAUCCAUGGAGUACAAAGGCAUGUUUUGCUUAACUUGAAUUCAGAUAGGUAGGUAUCCACUAAAGUUUUUUUUAUGUAUGUUCAUAUGCUUAACAAAAAUUUCUAGGCAAUUUGUGGAACAGUCCCUUAUUAAUGAUGCUCUUGACAAUAGCAACAUGGUUUCUUCCUUUCCAGAAAACAGCAGGGUAGACAUUAUAUAAACAUAAUCUUCCUGUAAAUCUUUUCCUGUGAUUGAACCAGGAUAAUUAGAUCUAGUUUUGCCAAAAC